GCUCUGGUGUAGCGGUAACACGCGCCAUCUAAUGGGAACAACGAAUUAUUGUUAAGGCGCGCUCGGCGGUUCGACUCCGCCCUAGAGCA
Mycena rosella is the source of this 89-nucleotide non-coding RNA. The record is from the annotation of a GenBank genome assembly. Lineage: Eukaryota; Fungi; Basidiomycota; Agaricomycetes; Agaricales; Mycenaceae.